RNAcentral lists this ribosomal RNA (1361 nucleotides) under metagenome. Its description in RNAcentral is "bacterial SSU rRNA". It matches the Rfam family "Bacterial small subunit ribosomal RNA". The record is from RNAcentral.
AGAGUGAACGCUGGCGGUGCGCCUAAAACAUGCAAGUCGAGCGCCCCUUCGGGGGAGCGGCGGACGGCUGAGUAACACGUUGGAACCUACCCCAGACUCAGGUAUAACUCCGAGAAAUCGGAGCUAAUACCGGAUGGUCUCGUAAGAGUAAAGCUUUUGCGGUCUGGGAGGGGCCUGCGGCCUAUCAGCUUGUUGGUAAGGUAACGGCUUACCAAGGCUAUGACGGGUAACUGGUUUGAGAGAACGACCAGUCAGAAUGGGACUGAGACACGGCCCAUACUCCUACGGGAGGCAGCAGUUAGGAAUCUUCCGCAAUGGGCGAAAGCCUGACGGAGCGACACCGCGUGGGGGAUGACACCCUUUCCGGGCGUAAACCCCUGUUCUGAGGGAACAAAUUUUUGAGGGUACCUCAGGAGAAAGCAUCGGCUAACUACGUGCCAGCAGCCGCGGUAAGACGUAGGAUGCAAGCGUUACUCGGAAUCACUGGGCGUAAAGCGUCUGUAGGCGGUUAGAUAAGUCGGCGGUUAAAGGUGGGAGCUCAACUCCCAUUACGUCGCGGAAACUGUUUAACUUGAGCAACUCAGAGGCACCUGGAAUGUCGUGUGUAGGGGUAAAAUCCGUUGAUUCACGAUGGAAUGCCAAAAGCGAAAGCAGGGUGCUGGGGGUUUGCUGACGCUCAGAGACGAAAGCGUGGGGAGCGAACGGGAUUAGAUACCCGGUAGUCCACGCCCUAAACGAUGCGUGUUCGGUGUGGGGGUUUUGCUUUGAUCAAGCCUCCGUGCCUUAGCUAACGCGGUAAACACGCCGCCUGGGGAGUACGGCCGCAAGGUUAAAACUCAAAGGAAUAGACGGGGACCCACACAAGCGGUGGAGCAUGGGGUUUAAUUCGAUACUAAGCGGGGCACCUCACUGGAUUUGACAUCCCGAGAAGAUUCUAGAAAUAGAAUUGUGCCGCAAGGAACUCGGCGACAGGUGCUGCACGGUCGUCGUCAGCUCGUGCCUUGAGGUGUGUUGUUAAGUCAAUGAACGAGCGCAACCCUCAUCCUAUGUUGUAUUUUCAUGGGAGACCGCCGGCUCCAAGCCGGAGGAAGGUGGGGAUGACGUCAGAUCAGCGUGGCCCUUAUGUCCAGGGCGACACCCGUGCUACAAUGGCCGGUACAAUGGGUAGCCAAGCAGCAAUGCGGAGCCAAUCCCUCUAAAACCGGUCUCAGUUCGGAUCGAAGGCUGCAAUUCGCCUUCGUGAAGUUGGAAUCGCUAGUAACCGUGAAUCAGCCACGUCACGGUGAAUAUGUUCCUGGGUCUUGUACUCACCGCCCGUCAAGUCAUGAAAGGCAGAAACACCCGAAGCACCGUUACCCCAG